Centrocercus urophasianus (Greater sage-grouse) is the source of this 3172-nucleotide long non-coding RNA. RefSeq lists it as uncharacterized. The record is from RefSeq and is a predicted model, not a curated record. NCBI's taxonomy places the organism in Eukaryota, Metazoa, Chordata, Aves, Galliformes, Phasianidae. The transcript is spliced from 7 exons.
UAGAUCAGACCAGACAACCUACAGCGUAGUUAAAGAACUCCUUUAAUCAUGUAUUUAUAUGCUGGGAUACUGACUAUGUCUUCCUACAGUCUUGAAGCCUCAUCUGAAGUUGAGCCCCUGGGUGCAUCUGGGAUAUAAAUUUAACAACAGGGUCCCAUUUUGCCUGUAAGACUUACUGAAUAAGAAGGAUCAGCAUGCAAACUCCAUCUUACAUCUUGGGAGUAUUCCACAGGCUGUGGCUCACGUAUAGGUGGCAGCAAAUGUGAACAAAAGCCCACGUCUGCAUUUCUGUCCUGGCUUCCCACCUCCAGAACGCGUCUUUAACUCAACAGAUCUCAGACUGACUCAGUAACACUUUCUCCUCACUCUGACUCUGGAAAUGUGUUUUCUACUGUGCUGCAAGUCCUAAUUCCAGAGGACUCCCGCAAAGACAAGAAAGCUUCUAUCAAAGGUUAAUUCUCUCUCAUUAUAAUGAGGUGAAUCAGUCAACCAAGGAGGCAGCUGAGAGCCAGAGUCAUCGCAAGGGAAGCGGUGUGGGCAAGCAUGGAACAAUGUGCUGAGCAGGACAGUCGUGCAGCAGCACAGACAGGAGAGCAUCUGUUUUCAUCCACCUCUGAGCCUCUUCUUCACUCAGCUUCUCUUCUCAGCUGCUCUCCAGUCAGCCCAGAGGGAGCCUUUGAUGGCUAGCUGCUCAUCACUGCAAGUUUACUGCCCACGUGUCUUUCAUCAGUGCCAAUGUCAGAUGAGUUCUUGUGCUGAUCACGAAAGUAUACGUCACCCUAAACUCCUGACCAGUUGCGAGGAGGCAACAGCAAAAGAAGAGUGAAAGGACCAAAGUGAAAGGACCCACCAGCAGAGGGAAGGAGCAGUUCCAGGUAGAUUUGCUUCAUGAAUAAUGCUCGACGCCGGCCUUGGCGAGCCCGCUCUGCCACCUGGAUCAUUUUAAUGGCUUCUUCAAAUGUCAUGGCCUUGACAGGUUUCUUCAGCAGCGCAGCCAAAGAGGAAAGGACAAAGCAGAGCGGUUUUGUUAACUGCCUACCUCAGUUAGCAGAUGAGACAGGGAAUUAACCUUUAGUGGAAACCUUCUAAGACAAAACAUCUCUGCUACAAACAGCAGAGACUCUUCUUGCAGGGCCAUCAUGCGGUAUUUUUGAAAUUUGCUACCUCCAGAGACAAUUUUUGAGGAGAAAGUGAGCCUGACACACUGCUGUCGUUUCUGUGGCAUCCCAGGGAUGGGUUCCUGGAUGGGCUGCUGGAUCUUCAGCUCUUUUGCUGAGUGAAACAACAGGCUGAUUUGAGCUAGCCAGACCUGGUCAGAAGGUCUGACUUAGGGAAAAAAGCAUGUCAGAACAGGGCAGCUGGAGAGAACUCCUCCUUCCCACUUCUGAGAACUCAUCAGUGCCUCGUGUUCCCCAUGGAAAGGCUGAAUUACUGUCCUUUCCUGACAUUAAUCCCCCUAUUGGAGACAGUUCACAUUCAGUGUUUCUACAUAUAUUGUGUGGAGCUCACUAUACAACAUUUUCAGCAGGGCUUUCUACAAUGGAAAUACACAGGAGAACGAAUGGUCUGUGCAGCAGAUUCCUUUAAUAAGCCCAUGUCCUCUGAUAAAACUCCAGAGUUUUGUGUGUACUCUCAGCUGUUUGUAACAGUGCUGUCAUGGACACUCAGCAGCACAGUGCUCUGCUGCACAGCAGUCAGGAUUUCCUGAGUGUACAUGGCUUGCUAUGAUGCAUACAGAGGUGCUGAUAACCCUCCAGCAAUCGCAGCAGUGGUGGAACUGGAGUAUAGCACAAGGCAUGGGAUUCACAGUGGGUUCAUAUGAGAUUGUUUUCUUCAUGUUUAUUGAAUCUUGUUGUGACAUCCUGGCAAAGGGAACCUGGACCCUGCCAGAGCUUGGUGUUUGCAGGUGAGCUGGCUGCACGCUGGAAAGGCUCACCUGCUCAUGGCUGCCAUGCUGAAAAGGAAUGAGAACAGAACUGUGGGAAACAAAAAGACUCCAAGAAGUAACAGAGGAUUUCCACAGACUGACAUCAGACCAUUACAGAAUUUACCCAUAAAUUUACUGUGGAGGCCAGCGGGGCUGCAGCUGCCCAUCAAAGUAAUCUGCAGACUGCUUCUUUCUGUGCCUGGGAACCCUCCCUCGGUCGCUCUGUGGGAUCAAUGCUACCACAUACCCAGCAGGGAAGCAGACUUCCCCCAGCAGCACAAUUACUGCGGAGGAUUCGGUGGCUGUGGGUCUGAUCAGGACUGUCUCUUAUGGCUGCAGCAUCUACAAACCUCACUCUGCAGACACAGCAGCCCAGUUGUUUAUUUCAGGAGGUGAGAGGGCUGCUUGCGGGCAGCGGGCCAUUUCCAAGAGGUCAGAAGUAUAUCAAAUCCAGAACAGUCUUCACCAGAGCACUCAUGUACUUCUCCAUAAUGACUUCUGCUCUGCCAAAACCCAAUUUUCUACUCCUCCUAGCAGCUGCAGCUCGAUGGCUGUACAGAAGAGACUGCAGCCAUUGUUUGGAGGUUAUAAACAACUGAAUGCUGCUGUGCUGACCUGAACUCUGAGUUUUGCCCAUUCCAGCCAGAAACCCUGGCUCAGUAAAACUGAAGCUCACCUUGAUUUCAGUAGGACUGAUUAUGUGAGGAGAGUUAGCUGGGUAAAUAAAGCAGCUUCUAAGCUUGAGCCAAGUGCUGCCCUUUCUCUGACACUCGCACACACGGAGUCAAUUCAUUUCUGCAGUCUUAGGCUUGAGAUGUGACUGGGUAUUGUUAGGCAGAAAAACUCAACGCUACUUUCUGUUUGAGCCUCAUCUGCAAAUGGACUUAACUACCAUAAAAAUACUUCUUACUUUAGUGGCUCACGCUCAGGCAUGCAUGGCUAUAAGCUACAAAAUUAAGCAUGUUAUUGUGUAGGUACAUGGCAUGCUUACCUGUGUUGCCAAUCCGGCAUUCAACAAAAUCUCAUCCAGAGUUUUCUCUCUCUGCUGCAAGCCUUCCAGAUUCUCCUUAAUAAAAUACUUUGGGAUAGGUAUUUCUGUGUCUUCCUAUAGGAAAAAAUAGUUGUGAGGUGCUUUUUAAAACUGCGUGAAAAUCAUAUUACUUAUUAGCUGCACACCUUUACAAAGCAAUUAAAUUGCAGAGAGAUUAUUGAAUUUUUUUGGAGUGUUAGGGAACCUGACCUCUG